Molecule: ribosomal RNA, 332 nt
Filed under: uncultured bacterium
Lineage: Bacteria
Description: bacterial SSU rRNA
Rfam family: Bacterial small subunit ribosomal RNA
Source: RNAcentral
CGUGUAGGCGGUUGGGCGAGUCAGAUGUGAAAGUCUUCCGCUCAACGGGAGAAGGGCAUUUGAAACUACCCGGCUAGAGUACGGGAGAGGAGAGUGGAAUUCCCGGUGUAGAGGUGAAAUUCGUAGAUAUCGGGAGGAACACCAGUGGCGAAGGCGGUUCUCUGGUCCGAUACUGACGCUGAGACGCGAAAGCGUGGGGAGCAAACAGGAUUAGAUACCCUGGUAGUCCACGCCGUAAACGAUGGGCACUAGGUGUAGGAGGUAUUGACCCCUUCUGUGCCGAAGCUAACGCAUUAAGUGCCCCGCCUGGGGAGUACGGCCGCAAGGCUAAA